GGCCUAAUUUUGUUGAUUGUUCAUCCUGAAUCCUUACUCCAUAAUAUCUAAAGAUAUGGGUUAAAAUCAUGGCAUAAGAUAGGGACGUCUGUGCCCUACCGACCGCUUCUUGCAUAACAUUGAUGAUCAUUCUUGAAAGGUUGAGUGGGAUAUAUUUGACUACAUGAUACAUAAUUGUUAAGUUCUUCUCUGUUAUAAUAUCAAAUCCUCCUAUCUUAGGUUGUAUAAUCCAGCAAAUAAUUAUAUGGAGUAGUCUCAUUUCAAUAUUUAAGUAUCUCCCAUGAAUUCUCUAGAGUUGACCAUGAUCUUCUACC
This 314-nucleotide long non-coding RNA is filed under the name Elaeis guineensis (African oil palm). Its description in RNAcentral is "long non-coding RNA (EGUI_LNC018191)". Lineage: Eukaryota; Viridiplantae; Streptophyta; Magnoliopsida; Arecales; Arecaceae. The record is from RNAcentral.